Molecule: non-coding RNA, 142 nt
Organism: Arachis ipaensis
Lineage: Eukaryota; Viridiplantae; Streptophyta; Magnoliopsida; Fabales; Fabaceae
Source: RefSeq, a predicted model, not a curated record
AAAGAAGAAACAAAGAAAAAGUGUAAACAGAACGUUUUAGAUCAGAGCAACCAACUUUACACACAUACUGGGGGCUCCAAAAUAUUGGCAAGAAAAAAAGACGAAGUGGAGAAAGAGCAAGGAAGGCUCGUUGGUAGAGGAG